Molecule: ribosomal RNA, 542 nt
Filed under: Hermagoras cultratolobatus
Lineage: Eukaryota; Metazoa; Arthropoda; Insecta; Phasmatodea; Lonchodidae
Description: partial 28S ribosomal RNA
Source: RNAcentral
AGAGUUCAAGAGUACGUGAAACCGUUCAGGGGUAAACGGGAGAAAUCCUGAAUUCGAAUGGGGUAUGGAUUCAAGUCCAUCCGGUUGCGAAAACGGACUGCCACCCACCAGAUGUUGCUGGUCGCCCGCUGCGAUUAACUUCGUUUGCGGUGUCGUUCCCGGCGUACACUCGGUAGGGAGGGCGAUGUAUUCCGGCAACGGAGGAGUGCACUUCCCCCCUAGUAGAAACGUCGCGACCCGUUGGGUGCCGGUCUAAGGCCCGGGAUGGCAGACCACGUGUCCUGCGGGGGCUCCCGCAGGCAUGCGGACUCCUGGUGACCCGGCUGGCUGCCCGACGGUAUGACCAGAGGAGUCGAUCCGCUAAAUGGGAAUCACUGUGGUUGUGAAGCGUCCGGCCUGGUGCCGAUGCGUGCGGGGAUUGAGGUGUAAACCGGGGGUGCCCGUGCGAAGCACGGCCCCGGCCCUGCUGCGUACUCGGUGCCGGUGUCCUCGGACUGGAUCUGUUCUCCCGUCUGCGACGCCCAUCUUCGGAUGGUCUCGCC